RNAcentral lists this ribosomal RNA (839 nucleotides) under Espadarana callistomma. Its description in RNAcentral is "partial 16S ribosomal RNA". It matches the Rfam family "Bacterial large subunit ribosomal RNA", at positions 1502 to 2577 of the family's 2925-position model. Lineage: Eukaryota; Metazoa; Chordata; Amphibia; Anura; Centrolenidae. The record is from RNAcentral.
AACUAAUUCCAACACUAUCUAAGAACCCUUAAACAAUAUUGAGCAAUUCUAUACUACUAUAGAAGAUUUUAUGUUAAAACUAGUAACAAGAAGAAGAACUUCUCAUACAAUGCAAGUGUAAAUCAGAUAGGACACCCCACUGAUAAUUAACACCUAUGAAUAAAAAUAGCAACCUAACAAGAAAACCCUACUAACCCAUGUGUUAAACUAACACCAGAGCAUUACGAGAAAGAUUAAAAGAAAGAGAAGGAACUCGGCAAAUAUUAACCUCGCCUGUUUACCAAAAACAUCGCCUCCUGAAUAAAUAUAAGAGGUCCAGCCUGCCCAGUGACUUUGUUCAACGGCCGCGGUAUCCUAACCGUGCGAAGGUAGCGUAAUCACUUGUUCUUUAAAUGAGGACUAGUAUGAAUGGCACCACGAAGGUUAUACUGUCUCCUCUUUUUAAUCAGUGAAACUAAUCUCCCCGUGAAGAAGCGGGAAUAAACAUAUAAGACGAGAAGACCCUAUGGAGCUUUAAACUAUGUAACACUUGCACCACCACAACACAAAUUUCAGAAAAAUCUCUCCAACGCAUGCAAGCUUAUUACCAGUUUUAGGUUGGGGUGACCGCGGAGCAAAAAACAACCUCCACAUUGAAAGGAAAUUACUCCUUAGCCAAGAGCCACACCUCCCCGCACCAUUACAAUGACAUUAAUUGACCCAAUAUUUUGAUCAACGAACCAAGUUACCCUAGGGAUAACAGCGCAAUCCAUUUCAAGAGCUCCUAUCGACAAAUGGGUUUACGACCUCGAUGUUGGAUCAGGGUAUCCCGGUGGUGCAGCCGCUACCAAAGGUUCGUU